RNAcentral lists this ribosomal RNA (346 nucleotides) under Platycotylus sp. CO1010. Its description in RNAcentral is "partial 12S ribosomal RNA". Lineage: Eukaryota; Metazoa; Arthropoda; Insecta; Coleoptera; Tenebrionidae. The record is from RNAcentral.
UUUAAAUGUGAAUUGUUUUCUUAAAUUAUUAAUAGCUAUGUUCUUUAAAAUUAAAAAAUUUGGCGGUAUUUUAGUCUGUUCAGAGGAACCUGUUUUUUAAUCGAUAGUCCACGAUGAUUCUUACUUUUUUUAGAAAUUUACAUAUCGUUGUUUAUAAAAAUUUUAGGAGAAUAUUAAUUUUUUUGUUUUUUUAUUAGAAUUUAUUUCAGAUCAAGGUGUAGUUUAUAGAAAAGUAAAAAUGGGUUACAAUUAUUGAAUUAUUGGAUUUAAGUUUUAAAAUUUUAAUAAAAUUGGAUUUGAUAGUAAUUUCUUUAUUUUUGGGAUUUGAUUUAGCUCUAAGAUAUGC